Molecule: non-coding RNA, 268 nt
Organism: Paramuricea clavata
Lineage: Eukaryota; Metazoa; Cnidaria; Anthozoa; Malacalcyonacea; Plexauridae
Source: the annotation of a GenBank genome assembly
UGCCGGUUGUACUAGCCAGGAUGGCGUGAUUGAUGACGAAUCGCUUGUAAAAACGUAGUCUCCUAUGCAGACCUACUUUAGCGGGUUUGGGCCCGCCACGUACGGUCUGCUUACUUUGGCUAGCAAUUCGCCUUCCCAUUGUAUUCCAUUAGCCAAUAGCAUUCAAAUACACUAGACACGCCCACUUUGAAUGUCAACUGUAAAGUGUAAACAAGGAGCGUGCGAUAAUCGAAUAAUAAUACGGUAUAUAUACGUAUUUAAAUGGCCA